RNAcentral lists this ribosomal RNA (440 nucleotides) under uncultured bacterium. RNAcentral describes it as "partial 16S ribosomal RNA". It matches the Rfam family "Bacterial small subunit ribosomal RNA", at positions 338 to 769 of the family's 1533-position model. The record is from RNAcentral.
CCUACGGGAGGCAGCAGUGGGGAAUCUUGGGCAAUGGGCGCAAGCCUGACCCAGCGACGCCGCGUGGGUGACGAAGGCCUUCGGGUCGUAAAGCCCUGUCAGGCGGAACGAAGGCCCCUGGGGUGCUGAGCCCCGGGGGGUGACGGUACCGCCAAAGGAAGCACCGGCCAACUCCGUGCCAGCAGCCGCGGUAAGACGGAGGGUGCGAGCGUUGCUCGGAAUCACUGGGCGUAAAGGGUGCGUAGGCGGCCCCGUAAGUCUGGCGUGAAAGCCCCGGGCUCAGCCCGGGAAGGGCGCCAGGGACUGGGGGGCUCGAGGGCCGGAGGGGAGAGUGGAAUUCCCGGUGUAGCGGUGAAAUGCGUAGAGAUCGGGAGGAAUACCGGUGGCGCAAGCGACUCUCUGGACGGCGCCUGACGCUGAGGCACGAAAGCGUGGGGAGC